This 253-nucleotide ribosomal RNA is filed under the name uncultured bacterium. RNAcentral describes it as "partial 16S ribosomal RNA". It matches the Rfam family "Bacterial small subunit ribosomal RNA", at positions 524 to 776 of the family's 1533-position model. The record is from RNAcentral.
UACGUAGGUGGCAAGCGUUAUCCGGAAUUAUUGGGCGUAAAGCGCGCGCAGGCGGUUUCUUAAGUCUGAUGUGAAAGCCCACGGCUCAACCGUGGAGGGUCAUUGGAAACUGGGAAACUUGAGUGCAGAAGAGAAGAGUGGAAUUCCACGUGUAGCGGUGAAAUGCGUAGAGAUGUGGAGGAACACCAGUGGCGAAGGCGACUCUUUGGUCUGUAACUGACGCUGAGGCGCGAAAGCGUGGGGAGCAAACGGG